CGGGGCGUAGCGCAGCCUGGUUAGCGCGCAGCGUUCGGGACGCUGAGGUCGGAAGUUCGAAUCUUCUCGCCCCGACCA
RNAcentral lists this transfer RNA (78 nucleotides) under Dehalogenimonas lykanthroporepellens BL-DC-9. Its description in RNAcentral is "tRNA-Pro (CGG) (tRNA-Pro-CGG-1-1)". It matches the Rfam family "tRNA". Rfam says of the family: Transfer RNA (tRNA) molecules are approximately 80 nucleotides in length. Their secondary structure includes four short double-helical elements and three loops (D, anti-codon, and T loops). RNAcentral also lists the same sequence under 2 other names. Lineage: Bacteria; Bacillati; Chloroflexota; Dehalococcoidia; Dehalococcoidales; Dehalococcoidaceae. The record is from RNAcentral.